RNAcentral lists this ribosomal RNA (497 nucleotides) under uncultured bacterium. Its description in RNAcentral is "partial 16S ribosomal RNA". It matches the Rfam family "Bacterial small subunit ribosomal RNA", at positions 28 to 507 of the family's 1533-position model. The record is from RNAcentral.
GAUGAACGCUGGCGGCGUGCCUAAUACAUGCAAGUCGAGCGAACAGAUGAGGAGCUUGCUCCUCUGACGUUAGCGGCGGACGGGUGAGUAACACUUGGAUAACCUACCUAUAAGACUGGGAUAACUUCGGGAAACCGGAGCUAAUACCGGAUAAUAUAUUGAACCGCAUGGUUCAAUAGUGAAAGACGGUUUUGCUGUCACUUAUAGAUGGAUCCGCGCCGCAUUAGCUAGUUGGUAAGGUAACGGCUUACCAAGGCAACGAUGCGUAGCCGACCUGAGAGGGUGAUCGGCCACACUGGAACUGAGACACGGUCCAGACUCCUACGGGAGGCAGCAGUAGGGAAUCUUCCGCAAUGGGCGAAAGCCUGACGGAGCAACGCCGCGUGAGUGAUGAAGGUCUUCGGAUCGUAAAACUCUGUUAUUAGGGAAGAACAAAUGUGUAAGUAACUAUGCACGUCUUGACGGUACCUAAUCAGAAAGCCACGGCUAACUACGUG